AAGUUAUUUAGAAAAAUAGUAUCUAAAGCUAUCAAAAUGCAGCAUCAAUAGUAAUUACAAAUAUAAUCAUAAGGUUUCAAAAAUCUCCACCACUGUCUCCAAAAAAACAACAUAGAGCAUUCCAAGAGUGAAAAGAGUGAAAAAAAUAUGUUUAUUAUUUAAACCUCAAGAAGAAGCUGCAAGAAAAGAACAAGCUAGCUAGGUAUAAAUAGUAAUAUUUCUUAUUCUCUCCCAUAAUUUAAAGAAGUCUGAAAGUUCUUUGUGCUCAUAAAGUAAGGAUGAAUUAUUUAGAAGAUGAAUCACUUUAAAGAUAGUAGAACG
This 321-nucleotide long non-coding RNA is filed under the name Elaeis guineensis (African oil palm). Its description in RNAcentral is "long non-coding RNA (EGUI_LNC013325)". Lineage: Eukaryota; Viridiplantae; Streptophyta; Magnoliopsida; Arecales; Arecaceae. The record is from RNAcentral.